RNAcentral lists this ribosomal RNA (151 nucleotides) under Glomus sp. CMCCROC5. RNAcentral's name for it is "5.8S ribosomal RNA". The stretch from base 61 to 151 matches the Rfam family "5.8S ribosomal RNA", at positions 1 to 91 of the family's 154-position model. Rfam says of the family: 5.8S ribosomal RNA (5.8S rRNA) is a component of the large subunit of the eukaryotic ribosome. It is transcribed by RNA polymerase I as part of the 45S precursor that also contains 18S and 28S rRNA. The record is from RNAcentral. Lineage: Eukaryota; Fungi; Glomeromycota; Glomeromycetes; Glomerales; Glomeraceae.
CCCCCUCUCUUAUAAAAUGAAAAAUUGAAUCAUUAUAUUUUUUAUAAUAAAAUAAAAGAUCACUUUCAACAACGGAUCUCUUGGCUCUCGCAUCGAUGAAGAACGUAGCGAAGUGCGAUAUGUAGUGUGAAUUGCAGAAUUCCGUGAAUCA